Molecule: transfer RNA, 71 nt
Filed under: Camelus bactrianus (Bactrian camel)
Lineage: Eukaryota; Metazoa; Chordata; Mammalia; Artiodactyla; Camelidae
Also listed under: 3 other names
Rfam family: tRNA
About the family: Transfer RNA (tRNA) molecules are approximately 80 nucleotides in length. Their secondary structure includes four short double-helical elements and three loops (D, anti-codon, and T loops). Further hydrogen bonds mediate the characteristic L-shaped molecular structure. tRNAs have two regions of fundamental functional importance: the anti-codon, which is responsible for specific mRNA codon recognition, and the 3' end, to which the tRNAs corresponding amino acid is attached (by aminoacyl-tRNA synthetases). tRNAs cope with the degeneracy of the genetic code in two manners: having more than one tRNA (with a specific anti-codon) for a particular amino acid; and 'wobble' base-pairing, i.e. permitting non-standard base-pairing at the 3rd anti-codon position.
Source: Rfam by way of RNAcentral
GAGGGUAUAGCUCAGUGGUAGAGCAUGUGCUUAGCAUGCUCGAGGUCCUGGGUUCAAUCCCAGUACCUCCA